GACGAAGAACGCAGCGAAAUGCGAUAAGUAAUGUGAAUUGCAGAAUUCAGUGAAUCAUCGAAUCUUUGAACGCACAUUGCGCCCGCCAGUAUUCUGGCGGGCAUGCCUGUUCGAGCGUCAUUACAACCCUCAGGCCCCCGGGCCUGGCGUUGGGGAUCGGCGGAGCCCCCCGUGGGCACACGCCGUCCCCCAAAUGCAGUGGCGGUCCCGCCGCAGCUUCCAUCGCGUAGUAGCUAACACCUCGCGACUGGAGAGCGGCGCGGCCACGCCGUAAAACACCCAACUCUUCUGAAGUUGACCUCGAAUCAGGUAGGAAUACCCGCUGAACUUAAGCAUAUCAAUAAGCGGAGGA
This 352-nucleotide unclassified non-coding RNA is filed under the name soil metagenome. RNAcentral's name for it is "partial contains 5.8S ribosomal RNA, internal transcribed spacer 2, and large subunit ribosomal RNA". The stretch from base 1 to 120 matches the Rfam family "5.8S ribosomal RNA", at positions 35 to 154 of the family's 154-position model. The record is from RNAcentral.